RNAcentral lists this ribosomal RNA (1823 nucleotides) under Shewanella sp. M16. Its description in RNAcentral is "partial 23S ribosomal RNA". It matches the Rfam family "Bacterial large subunit ribosomal RNA", at positions 352 to 2156 of the family's 2925-position model. Lineage: Bacteria; Pseudomonadati; Pseudomonadota; Gammaproteobacteria; Alteromonadales; Shewanellaceae. The record is from RNAcentral.
CAGCGGCACAGGGUGAUAGCCCCGUACAUGAAAACUAACCAUUGAUGAAAACGAGUAAGGCGGGACACGUGACAUCCUGUUUGAAUAUGGGGGGACCAUCCUCCAAGGCUAAAUACUCCUGACUGACCGAUAGUGAACCAGUACCGUGAGGGAAAGGCGAAAAGAACCCCUGUGAGGGGAGUGAAAUAGAACCUGAAACCGUAUACGUACAAGCAGUGGGAGCGGUUCUUGAGACCGUGACUGCGUACCUUUUGUAUAAUGGGUCAGCGACUUACAUUUUGUAGCGAGGUUAAGCGAAUAGCGGAGCCGUAGGGAAACCGAGUGUUAACUGCGCGUUUAGUUGCAAGGUGUAGACCCGAAACCCGGUGAUCUAGCCAUGGGCAGGUUGAAGGUUGAGUAACAUCAACUGGAGGACCGAACCGACUAAUGUUGAAAAAUUAGCGGAUGACUUGUGGCUGGGGGUGAAAGGCCAAUCAAACCGGGAGAUAUCUGGUUCUCCUCGAAAGCUAUUUAGGUAGCGCCUCGAGCGAAUACCAUUGGGGGUAGAGCACUGUUAAGGCUAGGGGGUCAUCCCGACUUACCAACCCUUUGCAAACUCCGAAUACCAAUGAGUACUACUCGGGAGACAGACGGCGGGUGCUAACGUCCGUCGUCAAAAGGGAAACAACCCAGACCGUCAGCUAAGGUCCCAAAGUACUAGCUAAGUGGGAAACGAUGUGGGAAGGCUUAGACAGCUAGGAUGUUGGCUUAGAAGCAGCCAUCAUUUAAAGAAAGCGUAAUAGCUCACUAGUCGAGUCGGCCUGCGCGGAAGAUGUAACGGGGCUAAGCUAGUCACCGAAGCUACGGGUGCACAGUUUACUGUGCGCGGUAGAGGAGCGUUCUGUAAGCCGUUGAAGGUGAAGGGGUAACCCACGCUGGAGGUAUCAGAAGUGCGAAUGCUGACAUGAGUAACGAUAAAGGGGGUGAAAAACCCCCUCGCCGAAAGACCAAGGGUUCCUGUCCAACGUUAAUCGGGGCAGGGUGAGUCGACCCCUAAGGUGAGGCCGAAAGGCGUAAUCGAUGGGAAACAGAUUAAUAUUUCUGUACUUCCGCUAACUGCGAUGGAGAGACGGAGAAGGCUAGGCUAGCGCGGCGUUGGUAGUCCGCGUUUAAGGUGGUAGGUGGUGUUCUUAGGCAAAUCCGGGGACACGUACUUUAAUGUACACACUGAGAGCUGAUGACGAGGUCCUAAGGGACUGAAGUAGUUGAUGCCAUGCUUCCAGGAAAAUCUUCUAAGCUUCAGGUUAGUGGGAAUCGUACCCCAAACCGACACAGGUGGUCGGGUAGAGAAUACCAAGGCGCUUGAGAGAACUCGGCUGAAGGAACUAGGCAAAAUGGUACCGUAACUUCGGGAGAAGGUACGCUCCUGUUGGUGAUGAGACUUGCUCUCUAAGCUGACGGGAGUCGCAGAUACCAGGUGGCUGCAACUGUUUAUCAAAAACACAGCACUGUGCAAACUCGCAAGAGGAAGUAUACGGUGUGACGCCUGCCCGGUGCCGGAAGGUUAAUUGAUUGGGUUAUCGCAAGAGAAGCUCAUGAUCGAAGCCCCGGUAAACGGCGGCCGUAACUAUAACGGUCCUAAGGUAGCGAAAUUCCUUGUCGGGUAAGUUCCGACCUGCACGAAUGGCGUAAUGAUGGCCACGCUGUCUCCAGCCGAGACUCAGUGAAGUUGAAAUUGCGGUGAAGAUGCCGUAUACCCGCGGCUAGACGGAAAGACCCCGUGAACCUUUACUAUAGCUUGGCACUGAACAUUGAACCUACAUGUGUAGGAUAGGUGGGAGACU